This 1364-nucleotide ribosomal RNA is filed under the name uncultured bacterium. RNAcentral describes it as "bacterial SSU rRNA". It matches the Rfam family "Bacterial small subunit ribosomal RNA", at positions 28 to 1381 of the family's 1533-position model. The record is from RNAcentral.
AUUGAACGCUGGCGGCAUGCUUUACACAUGCAAGUCGAACGGCAGCGGAGGAGUGCUUGCACUUCUGCCGGCGAGUGGCGAACGGGUGAGUAAUGUAUCGGAACGUGCCCAGUAGUAGGGGACAACUACUCGAAAGAGUGGCUAAUACCGCAUGAGAACUGAGGUUGAAAGCGGGGGACCUUCGGGCCUCGCGCUACUGGAGCGGCUGAUAUCAGAUUAGGUUGUUGGUGGGGUAAAGGCUCACCAAGCCUGCGAUCUGUAGCUGGUCUGAGAGGACGACCAGCCACACUGGGACUGAGACACGGCCCAGACUCCUACGGGAGGCAGCAGUGGGGAAUUUUGGACAAUGGGGGCAACCCUGAUCCAGCAAUGCCGCGUGCAGGACGAAGGCCUUCGGGUUGUAAACUGCUUUUGUACAGAACGAAAAGCCUAGGGUUAAUACCCUUGGGUCAUGACGGUACUGUAAGAAUAAGCACCGGCUAACUACGUGCCAGCAGCCGCGGUAAUACGUAGGGUGCGAGCGUUAAUCGGAAUUACUGGGCGUAAAGCGUGCGCAGGCGGUUUUAUAAGACAGAGGUGAAAUCCCCGGGCUCAACCUGGGAACUGCCUCUGUGACUGUAAGGCUGGAGUACGGCAGAGGGGGAUGGAAUUCCGCGUGUAGCAGUGAAAUGCGUAGAUAUGCGGAGGAACACCGAUGGCGAAGGCAGUCCCCUGGGCCUGUACUGACGCUCAUGCACGAAAGCGUGGGGGAGCAAACAGGAUUAGAUACCCUGGUAGUCCACGCCCUAAACGAUGUCAACUGGUUGUUGGGAAUUUACUUUCUCAGUAACGAAGCUAACGCGUGAAGUUGACCGCCUGGGGAGUACGGUCGCAAGAUUAAAACUCAAAGGAAUUGACGGGGACCCGCACAAGCGGUGGAUGAUGUGGUUUAAUUCGAUGCAACGCGAAAAACCUUACCCACCUUUGACAUGUACGGAAGUUACCAGAGAUGGUUUCGUGCUCGCAAGAGAACCGUAACACAGGUGCUGCAUGGCUGUCGUCAGCUCGUGUCGUGAGAUGUUGGGUUAAGUCCCGCAACGAGCGCAACCCUUGCCAUUAGUUGCUACCAUUUAGUUGGGCACUCUAAUGGGACUGCCGGUGACAAGCCGGAGGAAGGUGGGGAUGACGUCAAGUCCUCAUGGCCCUUAUAGGUGGGGCUACACACGUCAUACAAUGGUCGGUACAAAGGGUUGCCAACCCGCGAGGGGGAGCUAAUCCCACAAAGCCGAUCGUAGUCCGGAUCGCAGUCUGCAACUCGACUGCGUGAAGUCGGAAUCGCUAGUAAUCGUGGAUCAGAAUGUCGCGGUGAAUACGUUCCCGGGUCU